Molecule: ribosomal RNA, 492 nt
Filed under: uncultured bacterium
Lineage: Bacteria
Description: partial 16S ribosomal RNA
Rfam family: Bacterial small subunit ribosomal RNA
Source: RNAcentral
AGUGAACGCUGGCGGUAGGCCUAACACAUGCAAGUCGAACGGCAGCACAGUAAGAGCUUGCUCUUACGGGUGGCGAGUGGCGGACGGGUGAGGAAUACAUCGGAAUCUACUUUUUCGUGGGGGAUCACGUAGGGAAACUUACGCUAAUACCGCAUACGACCUACGGGUGAAAGCAGGGGAUCUUCGGACCUUGCGCGAUUGGAUGAGCCUAUGUCGGAUUAGCUAGUUGGCGGGGUAAAGGCCCACCAAGGCGACGAUCCGUAGCUGGUCUGAGAGGAUGAUCAGCCACACUGGAACUGAGACACGGUCCAGACUCCUACGGAAGGCAGCAGUGGGAAAUAUUGGACAAAGGGCGCAAGCCUGAUCCAGCCAUACCGCGUGGGUGAAGAAGGCCUUCGGGUUGUAAAGCCCUUUUGUUGGGAAAGAAAAGCAGCAGGUUAAUACCCCGCUGUUCUGACGGUACCCAAAGAAUAAGCACCGGCUAGCUUCGUG